AGUGAACGCUGGCGGCAGGCCUAACACAUGCAGGUCGAGCGGCAGCGGGUCCUUCGGGAUGCCGGCGAGCGGCGGACGGGUGAGGAAUGCAUCGGAAUCUGCCCUGUCGUGGGGGAUAACCUAGGGAAACUUAGGCUAAUACCGCAUACGACCCACGGGUGAAAGCGGGGGAUCGCAAGACCUCGCGCGAUAGGAUGAGCCGAUGUCCGAUUAGCUAGUUGGCGGGGUAAAGGCCCACCAAGGCGACGAUCGGUAGCUGGUCUGAGAGGAUGAUCAGCCACACUGGGACUGAGACACGGCCCAGACUCCUACGGGAGGCAGCAGUGGGGAAUAUUGGACAAUGGGCGCAAGCCUGAUCCAGCCAUGCCGCGUGGGUGAAGAAGGCCUUCGGGUUGUAAAGCCCUUUUGUCCGGGAAGAAAUCGUCUGGGCUAAUACCCCGGGCGGAUGACGGUACCGGAAGAAUAAGCACCGGCUAACUUCGUG
Molecule: ribosomal RNA, 484 nt
Filed under: uncultured bacterium
Lineage: Bacteria
Description: partial 16S ribosomal RNA
Rfam family: Bacterial small subunit ribosomal RNA
Source: RNAcentral